GAUGAACGCUGGCGGCGUGCCUAAUACAUGCGAGUCGAGCGAACAGACGAGGAGCUUGCUCCUCUGACGUUAGCGGCGGACGGGUGAGUAACACGUGGAUAACCUACCUAUAAGACUGGGAUAACUUCGGGAAACCGGAGCUAAUACCGGAUAAUAUAUUGAACCGCAUGGUUCAAUAGUGAAAGACGGUUUUGCUGUCACUUAUAGAUGGAUCCGCGCCGCAGUAGCUAGUUGGUAAGGUAACGGCUUACCAAGGCGACGAUGCGUAGCCGACCUGAGAGGGUGAUCGGCCACACUGGAACUGAGACACGGUCCAGACUCCUACGGGAGGCAGCAGUAGGGAAUCUUCCGCAAUGGGCGAAAGCCUGACGGAGCAACGCCGCGUGAGUGAUGAAGGUCUUCGGAUCGUAAAACUCUGUUAUUAGGGAAGAACAAAUGUGUAAGUAACUAUGCACGUCUUGACGGUACCUAAUCAGAAAGCCACGGCUAACUACGUG
This 497-nucleotide ribosomal RNA is filed under the name uncultured bacterium. Its description in RNAcentral is "partial 16S ribosomal RNA". It matches the Rfam family "Bacterial small subunit ribosomal RNA", at positions 28 to 507 of the family's 1533-position model. The record is from RNAcentral.